GUUGUCAGACGCUGAGUCGUGGUCCUCUAUGAGAAAGCGAAGCAGCGCCAGCUCUGGCACGUGCACGUCAAACUUGAAGUUCUCGUUCCAACUGGGGUUGAAGCCUUAAAGCAAAAAGCGGAGACAAAAAGAAUUCCACCAGAUUCCCGGCAUUCAUGAAGCCCGUGGUUUUGGCGUACUCCCCGUAGAUGACGUCGAUCUCCUCCCGCUGGGUCAGCAGAUUGUAAAAAUGCUCAAUCUCCGCUCCGGCAAGGUUCUCUCCUUGUGCGCUUUGUUUCACGGGUAGCUGCUCUCUGUUUUCAUGUGUGAGGUUUCCAGAAAGGGGAAAAGUCUCUGUAAGCCAACAAGAGCUCAAUUUGAACGCAGGGGAAUGCUGCAGGCUCCAACACCGGUUCGACGAGACUGUCAUUCAAGCUGGGCUGCUGAUGUCACAACAGGGCAGGUUACAACCCACACCGGCCUGUGCCAUCGUACGACUCCAGUGGCCUUUGUUGUGUAGUGAAGUGGCAGGAAAGUGGGCAAGGAUAAAGACAUAAGUGGCAAGGCUCAACUGGCCGGGACUGGAACCCGUGAAGGCCGCGUGAAGGGCUGGCCUCCGUAUACGGGUCGCACGCUUUCCCCCUGCGCCUCGGCCGCGCCCUUUUGCUAGCAGCUUUGCCUGGGUGGAAUAAUAGCGGCGCAGUCGGUGUAGCGCAGAGGCUCCUGUAGCUCUCAGCACUUCUCUUUCAGACCUGGCUUACCCUCAGCGCACUGUCAGCGGUGGAGAGCUUCCGGAUGGUACUCAUCAAGCCUCCACCCCAACCAUCCCUCCGAGGUGAUGUUCUUCUCAUACUUCCUGGAUGAGUCGCUGAUACAUUCCAAGAAUAAUUUUAGCCAGGAUAGUAUCGUUUGGGUCGGCUCACACAAGACGUCCGAGCAACACGUGCAUCCGAUGACGUCACAGAAGGUGUGGGGAAGCUGCCAGUCAUUUCAGGCAUUCUUGUUUGCAUUUUUUCUUGCAUUUUUUUAUUCACAUUUUUAAAUAAAAUCUUCCAUCAAAGUUG
Gambusia affinis (western mosquitofish) is the source of this 1043-nucleotide long non-coding RNA. RefSeq lists it as uncharacterized. The record is from RefSeq and is a predicted model, not a curated record. NCBI's taxonomy places the organism in Eukaryota, Metazoa, Chordata, Actinopteri, Cyprinodontiformes, Poeciliidae. The transcript has 6 exons.